AGUCAACAUGCCCAGGGGACGUGGAUAACCUCGGGAAACUGAGGAUAAACCGCGAUAGGUCAUCACUUCUGGAAUGGGUAAUGACUUAAACCUAUAUGGCCCCUGGAUUGGACUGCGGCCGAUCAGGCUGUUGGUGAGGUAAUGGCCCACCAAACCUGUAACCGGUACGGGCUCUGAGAGGAGGAGCCCGGAGAUGGGCACUGAGACAAGGGCCCAGGCCCUAUGGGGCGCAGCAGGCGCGAAACCUCUGCAAUAGGCGAAAGCUUGACAGGGUUACUCUGAGUGAUUUCCGUUAAGGAGAUCUUUUGGCACCUCUAAAAAUGGUGCAGAAUAAGGGGUGGGCAAGUCUGGUGUCAGCCGCCGCGGUAAUACCAGCACCCCGAGUGGUCGGGACGUUUAUUGGGCCUAAAGCAUCCGUAGCCGGUUCUACAAGUCUUCCGUUAAAUCCACCUGCUUAACAGAUGGGCUGCGGAAGAUACUAUAGAGCUAGGAGGCGGGAGAGGCAAGCGGUACUCGAUGGGUAGGGGUAAAAUCCGUUGAUCCAUUGAAGACCACCAGUGGCGAAGGCGGCUUGCCAGAACGCGCUCGACGGUGAGGGAUGAAAGCUGGGGGAGCAAACCGGAUUAGAUACCCGGGUAGUCCCAGCUGUAAACGAUGCAGACUCGGUGAUGAAUUGGCUUAUUGCUAAUUCAGUGCCGCAGGGAAGCCGUUAAGUUUGCCGCCUGGGGAGUACGGUCGCAAGACUGAAACUUAA
This 754-nucleotide ribosomal RNA is filed under the name uncultured archaeon. Its description in RNAcentral is "bacterial SSU rRNA". It matches the Rfam family "Archaeal small subunit ribosomal RNA", at positions 102 to 859 of the family's 1478-position model. The record is from RNAcentral.